Molecule: unclassified non-coding RNA, 394 nt
Filed under: soil metagenome
Description: partial contains 5.8S ribosomal RNA, internal transcribed spacer 2, and large subunit ribosomal RNA
Rfam family: 5.8S ribosomal RNA (bases 1-122)
Source: RNAcentral
GAUGAAGAACGUAGCGAAAUGCGAUACUUGGUGUGAAUUGCAGAAUCCCGUGAACCAUCGAGUCUUUGAACGCAAGUUGCGCCCGAAGCCACUAGGCCGAGGGCACGCCUGCCUGGGCGUCACACGUCGUUGCCCCCCCCCCCAUCUACUCCUUCGGGAUUGCGGGGGGCGGAUGAUGGCCUCCCGUGCGCCUAGCCGCGCGGUUGGCAUAAAUACCAAGUCCUCGGCAACGCACGCCACGACAAUCGGUGGUUGCGAACCCUCGGUUGCCCGUCGUGUGCGUUCGUCGCGCAUCGAGGGCUCGAAAAAAUGCUCGGCUCCGGCUCGGCUUUCAACGCGACCCCAGGUCAGGCGGGGUUACCCGCUGAAUUUAAGCAUAUCAAUAAGCGGAGGA